GGUUAAGCGACUAAGCGUACACGGUGGAUGCCCUGGCAGUCAGAGGCGAUGAAGGACGUGCUAAUCUGCGAAAAGCGUCGGUAAGGUGAUAUGAACCGUUAUAACCGGCGAUGUCCGAAUGGGGAAACCCAGUGUGAUUCGUCACACUAUCGUUAACUGAAUACAUAGGUUAACGAGGCGAACCGGGGGAACUGAAACAUCUAAGUACCCCGAGGAAAAGAAAUCAACCGAGAUUCCCCCAGUAGCGGCGAGCGAACGGGGAGCAGCCCAGAGUCUGAAUCAGCUUGUGUGUUAGUGGAACGGUCUGGAAAGUCCGACGGUACAGGGUGAUAGUCCCGUACACCAAAAUGCACAGGUUGUGAACUCGAAGAGUAGGGCGGGACACGUGGUAUCCUGUCUGAAUAUGGGGGGACCAUCCUCCAAGGCUAAAUACUCCUGACUGACCGAUAGUGAACCAGUACCGUGAGGGAAAGGCGAAAAGAACCCCGGCGAGGGGAGUGAAAAAGAACCUGAAACCGUGUACGUACAAGCAGUGGGAGCACCUUCGGGUGUGACUGCGUACCUUUUGUAUAAUGGGUCAGCGACUUAUAUUCUGUAGCAAGGUUAACCGUAUAGGGGAGCCGCAGGGAAACCGAGUCUUAACUGGGCGUUAAGUUGCAGGGUAUAGACCCGAAACCCGGUGAUCUAGCCAUGGGCAGGUUGAAGGUUGGGUAACACUAACUGGAGGACCGAACCGACUAAUGUUGAAAAAUUAGCGGAUGACUUGUGGCUGGGGGUGAAAGGCCAAUCAAACCGGGAGAUAGCUGGUUCUCCCCGAAAGCUAUUUAGGUAGCGCCUCGUGAAUUCAUCUUCGGGGGUAGAGCACUGUUUCGGCUAGGGGGUCAUCCCGACUUACCAACCCGAUGCAAACUACGAAUACCGAAGAAUGUUAUCACGGGAGACACACGGCGGGUGCUAACGUCCGUCGUGAAGAGGGAAACAACCCAGACCGCCAGCUAAGGUCCCAAAGUCAUGGUUAAGUGGGAAACGAUGUGGGAAGGCACAGACAGCCAGGAUGUUGGCUUAGAAGCAGCCAUCAUUUAAAGAAAGCGUAAUAGCUCACUGGUCGAGUCGGCCUGCGCGGAAGAUGUAACGGGGCUAAACCAUGCACCGAAGCUGCGGCAGCGACACUAUGUGUUGUUGGGUAGGGGAGCGUUCUGUAAGCCUGCGAAGGUGUGCUGUGAGGCAUGCUGGAGGUAUCAGAAGUGCGAAUGCUGACAUAAGUAACGAUAAAGCGGGUGAAAAGCCCGCUCGCCGGAAGACCAAGGGUUCCUGUCCAACGUUAAUCGGGGCAGGGUGAGUCGACCCCUAAGGCGAGGCCGAAAGGCGUAGUCGAUGGGAAACAGGUUAAUAUUCCUGUACUUGGUGUUACUGCGAAGGGGGGACGGAGAAGGCUAUGUUAGCCGGGCGACGGUUGUCCCGGUUUAAGCAUGUAGGCUGGUUAUCCAGGCAAAUCCGGAUAAUCAAGGCUGAGGUGUGAUGACGAGGCACUACGGUGCUGAAGUAACAAAUGCCCUGCUUCCAGGAAAAGCCUCUAAGCAUCAGGUAACAUCAAAUCGUACCCCAAACCGACACAGGUGGUCAGGUAGAGAAUACCAAGGCGCUUGAGAGAACUCGGGUGAAGGAACUAGGCAAAAUGGUGCCGUAACUUCGGGAGAAGGCACGCUGGUGUGUAGGUGAAGUCCCUGCGGAUGGAGCUGAGACCAGUCGAAGAUACCAGCUGGCUGCAACUGUUUAUUAAAAACACAGCACUGUGCAAACACGAAAGUGGACGUAUACGGUGUGACGCCUGCCCGGUGCCGGAAGGUUAAUUGAUGGGGUUAUCCGUAAGGAGAAGCUCUUGAUCGAAGCCCCGGUAAACGGCGGCCGUAACUAUAACGGUCCUAAGGUAGCGAAAUUCCUUGUCGGGUAAGUUCCGACCUGCACGAAUGGCGUAAUGAUGGCCAGGCUGUCUCCACCCGAGACUCAGUGAAAUUGAACUCGCUGUGAAGAUGCAGUGUACCCGCGGCAAGACGGAAAGACCCCGUGAACCUUUACUAUAGCUUGACACUGAACAUUGAGCCUUGAUGUGUAGGAUAGGUGGGAGGCUUUGAAGCGUGGACGCCAGUCUGCGUGGAGCCAACCUUGAAAUACCACCCUUUAAUGUUUGAUGUUCUAACGUUGGCCCCUUACCGGGGUUGCGGACAGUGUCUGGUGGGUAGUUUGACUGGGGCGGUCUCCUCCCAAAGCGUAACGGAGGAGCACGAAGGUUAGCUAAUCCUGGUCGGACAUCAGGAGGUUAGUGCAAUGGCAUAAGCUAGCUUGACUGCGAGCGUGACGGCGCGAGCAGGUGCGAAAGCAGGUCAUAGUGAUCCGGUGGUUCUGAAUGGAAGGGCCAUCGCUCAACGGAUAAAAGGUACUCCGGGGAUAACAGGCUGAUACCGCCCAAGAGUUCAUAUCGACGGCGGUGUUUGGCACCUCGAUGUCGGCUCAUCACAUCCUGGGGCUGAAGUAGGUCCCAAGGGUAUGGCUGUUCGCCAUUUAAAGUGGUACGCGAGCUGGGUUUAGAACGUCGUGAGACAGUUCGGUCCCUAUCUGCCGUGGGCGCUGGAGAAUUGAGGGGGGCUGCUCCUAGUACGAGAGGACCGGAGUGGACGCAUCACUGGUGUUCGGGUUGUCAUGCCAAUGGCACUGCCCGGUAGCUAAAUGCGGAAGAGAUAAGUGCUGAAAGCAUCUAAGCACGAAACUUGCCCCGAGAUGAGUUCUCCCUGAGACUUUAAGUCUCCUGAAGGAACGUUGAAGACGACGACGUUGAUAGGCCGGGUGUGUAAGCGCAGCGAUGCGUUGAGCUAACCGGUACUAAUGAACCGUGAGGCUUAACCUU
This 2902-nucleotide ribosomal RNA is filed under the name Klebsiella pneumoniae. RNAcentral's name for it is "23S ribosomal RNA". It matches the Rfam family "Bacterial large subunit ribosomal RNA". Lineage: Bacteria; Pseudomonadati; Pseudomonadota; Gammaproteobacteria; Enterobacterales; Enterobacteriaceae. The record is from RNAcentral.